UCUUCGGAGAGUUUGAUCCUGGCUCAGGAUGAACGCUGGCGGCGUGCCUAAUACAUGCAAGUCGAGCGAACUGAUUAGAAGCUUGCUUCUAUGACGUUAGCGGCGGACGGGUGAGUAACACGUGGGCAACCUGCCUGUAAGACUGGGAUAACUUCGGGAAACCGAAGCUAAUACCGGAUAGGAUCUUCUCCUUCAUGGGAGAUGAUUGAAAGAUGGUUUCGGCUAUCACUUACAGAUGGGCCCGCGGUGCAUUAGCUAGUUGGUGAGGUAACGGCUCACCAAGGCAACGAUGCAUAGCCGACCUGAGAGGGUGAUCGGCCACACUGGGACUGAGACACGGCCCAGACUCCUACGGGAGGCAGCAGUAGGGAAUCUUCCGCAAUGGACGA
RNAcentral lists this ribosomal RNA (389 nucleotides) under Priestia megaterium. RNAcentral's name for it is "bacterial SSU rRNA". It matches the Rfam family "Bacterial small subunit ribosomal RNA", at positions 1 to 378 of the family's 1533-position model. The record is from RNAcentral. Lineage: Bacteria; Bacillati; Bacillota; Bacilli; Caryophanales; Bacillaceae.